Molecule: long non-coding RNA, 2389 nt
Filed under: Homo sapiens (human)
Lineage: Eukaryota; Metazoa; Chordata; Mammalia; Primates; Hominidae
Description: HSALNT0314822
Source: RNAcentral
UCAUAGAGGAAAGGGCUGUGAUAUUUUGCAGCAUGUUGGUUCAGGACCUUGGAGAGUGGCAUAAGCCUAUGUGUUCUCUGUCCCUUUCACUGAGUUCUCUGGCCAACAGUGGGGGUGCUUCUAAAGAUUCUAUGUCAGGCAUCAUAAUAAGAUCCCAAUAACAGAGGUCAGUGGUGCAAGAGUUGCCCUGUUUUACCAUAGGGGAGGGAGGUUACUGAGGCAAUAUGGGAAACGAGGAAUAAGUUACCAGGGGCCUGUGGAAACUAGUGGCACCAAAGUGGACAGACUGAGACCGCAGAUCAGACUGGCAUCAAGAUAACAGCUGGGAAGUGACUGUGGGUUAAAUAUUCAUGGAUAACUUCCAGGCACUGGCUUACGCAGCUGUAAAAGAGACAUGUGCUGCCUCUCUCCAGGUAUCCAGAAAAGGCCCUCGUUCCUAAGACAACAAUUCAAGGUCAAGAGAACAAAAAAGAAAUUGAAAAAGAUAUCCAACAUCCUCUCAUGCUGGAAGCUUCAAUAUCUGCUGCAAUCUUCACACUUUCCAGGGAUGUAACCAAAGCAAGUUCUAACAUCGAUUGAGAGUUUACUAUGAACCAGGCACUGUGCCAAGGACUCUACAAUACUAUUUGGCUGAAUCCUCAUAAUAACUCAGAAAAGCAUACAUUAUUAUGAAGUCGUGAGAAUAAAAUGACAGAAUGUAAGAAAGCUUAGACCAAGGAUUUAGACCAAGGUCACAGAGAAGGCAAGAGACAGAAUCAAGUUUGAAACUUUUGUCUCUGAAGUGCCAAAGCCCAUCUUCCACCCACUAAAUGAAAUCAAUGAUUCUAUGAGCUUUCCCAGAACCCACUCAAGACUGAGGCAGUUUGGGGAUGCCAGGAUUCACCAGGUUUGAGGGAAGAGGCAUCUUCUUGGAUAUGAGCAAGUACUGGGAAGAUCUAGAGCUGCAGGCCUGGGUAGAAGUGAAGGGGGGAGAGAAAAGAAGGAAGAAGGGAGCUAGUCGUCCAGAGACCAGCAGCAGUGAUGUGACUGCAGACUCAAAACACAGAGCUCUCUAAGCCACCCUCCUCUGACUUCAUUUGGAGACCACACCAGCCCCUUUGACACCUUGAGGUGCACCUGCAUCCCUGUGCAGUCCACUGACAAAAUUCAAGGACAAGGCUGGACACACAGAGGCAUCUCAGAGGUCAAGGGUGGAGGGGUCCCUGGGUCUCCCAGUAGAUUAAAAAUAAAAGAAACAAAUGCCUAAACAGGGCUGCAAAAGGUAACAUGCAUUGCAAAUGUUUACAUGAAAUAAAUUAACACUUGUAGCACUACAAAAAUACAAUGACUACAUGUGUGCCAGCCCCAAGAGAUUAACAGGAUUCAUUAAAAAUAUUAAUUCUUAGUGCACUAUAUGUUUUAUAGCCUUGUCAAAUGACACAUUUUAAAUUUCUAAAACUCUUUAUAAACUUUCCAAUACUGCCAGUGAAUGAAUGUGACUACUGAUAUAAUCCAUUUAAAGUCAACGGCUGCACACUAAACCUGAGGCCCCUCCAGACUUCCAGGUGCACCUGAGGGGUUAAUGAGAAGGAAUGGAAAGGAGCGUUUUCAGGAGGAAUACUGUGAGUCCCUGGGCGUAUACUUCGGCAAUCAUGGAGACUAGUCUUUGGUCUGAACAUCCAGGGAGCAGUGAUUCAGCAUCCUUAAGUGAUUUCUAAAGAAGUACAUUAAACAAUGCUUUUUGGGCUUAUUGAAGACCCCCAGGGCAACCUCAGAAAUCAGUGGAGGAGAUAGCACAACAGAAAAACAGGACUUCUGGUCAGCAGAAACAAUCAUUUUUGUUAAUAUUAACCCACAGAGAGAGAGGUCUGUAGAAAAUCAGUUUACAACAGGAUGAGCUUUUCCUCAGUUCAAAUCUAUACACAUUGAUUGAACUCAGGAACUUGAUCUAGAAGGUACUUUCAUUCCCCCUCUUUACUCAGUAAAGGUUACAUACACUACAAGGCUGGAAUUAAGUAAUUCUUCUACUAAGAGUCCAGUCACUUUUUCUGUUCAUCAAACAGAAAGUAUAAAUGAAAUAUUCUUCUGUGAUGGGGAUGGAUGGAAGGGAUUUGGUCCAAGCAGGUGUAAAGAAAGGUCCCUGCUCACAGGGAGCCAGGAAGCAUUAUCCAAUGAAGAAGAAAAUUCUAACACAUUAGAGGCUAACCUGGAGCACUGACUCCCAAAUACAAUGGGAUACUUAAAAGAGAGGUCAUCCACAUUUCAGGGCUACAAUGCUCAGAGGAGUAGGAGCAAAUUAUCCAAAGUACUGUGCAGGGACAGUAGUGAUUGCCUCCUUCCACAAUUAUUGGGGAGAAUAUUGGGAGAAAUGCACCCCUUCUCACAUCCCUAUCCAGAGAGUGUAGCUGCC